RNAcentral lists this long non-coding RNA (3365 nucleotides) under Nilaparvata lugens (brown planthopper). RNAcentral describes it as "uncharacterized LOC111050452, transcript variant X1". The record is from RNAcentral. Lineage: Eukaryota; Metazoa; Arthropoda; Insecta; Hemiptera; Delphacidae.
GUUUUUCUCUUGUUAUGUUUUAGGUGUGAAGUGAACCCAGUCAGCAACGCAUCGAUUGGAGAGGAGCUUGGUAGACUAUACUGAUUCACUCCUGUCAUGGACCACAGCUUUCUAGUAUGGAACUUGACAGGUAUGGAACAAAUUUUUGGAGGAGAUACAUAAGACGAGUUCUGCAAUGUAUUGUAGAAGCCUUUGAUGUUGGUAUCCUGAUUAUAUGAUUGAUCUCCUGAGUUGUUACCUUAUCUCAAGGACGGACCACAUCCUUCAACACAGUGGGCAGAGUGAGAGAGAACAAGAGAGGAGCUGUAGAUUGUCACCAGAAAAUUUGAGCGAGAAAAGUGAGUUCUCAACACCCGAGAUCAUCACUGAUGUGUUGCCGAGCGAAGCGAGUUGUCACCAUCUGAGACCAUCACUCUUUCGCCGAGCGAAGUGAGUUCUCAACACCUGAGAUUAUCACUGUGUGUCGCCGAGCGAAGCGAGCUCUCACCCCCUGUUGCAGUCUUCAUUCAUCUGGAUUGCGCGGACGCAGAAGAGAGGGACAGACACACCAGAGGAGAAUGAUGGCCAGCUCCACAGAAGAAUAGUGAGAUGGAGGAUAUCGAGAAGAAGCAGAUUACAAAAUAUUGGAACAAAGUGACAAGUGCAAAAUGAUGAGACUCUAAUUUAGUGCAAUGAUUGAUUUAAAGUGAAAAAGUCAAGUGUGAGAAUGGAAGGACUCUAAUCUGGUUUCACUCACACCAAGGACAUUGAAAUGUUUUGUUGUUGUGUUAUGUUUUUCAGCUUUUGCAUGUUGUCAUGUUUUUUUAGCUUUUUCUUGUUCUGAAAUAAAUGAGCAUGGGGUGUGUUCUAUUUUGGGGUGGGGGGGCUUUUCAGGCAUCGAUGCAGGCAGGCAGAAUGAGGAGGAGGGGAGAGGACAUCGCAGAACUUCAAAAAAGGUAAAAGUCAGCUCUCAGCCGAUUUUAGCAGUUCAAUCAAAUUCUCUCUUCUCAUACUAUUCACAUACUUUUCAAUUUAUUUCAGUUUUCAUCAUUUCAGUCAUUUGUCUUUACAGUAUUUUAAAUUUUCAUACAAGUUUAUAAUUAUUUACAAGUGGCAUCUUUCGAUGUAACUUGUGAAUUCUUUUGAAUCAAUUUUUCUUUUAAAUAUUCAAUUUGUAAAUACGUUCAAUUCUAAAGUCUGACUUUUGUAAUUAAAUUUGUAUUGUUGAACUGUUCAAUUCGGUUGUGGGCGACUUGUAUGAAAUUGGUGAUGCAUGCCUAGACCAUCAACCCCUUUUUAGUAGUAGUUUCUUUUCAGUUCUUCUUUCUAUUAGCUUUGUUUUUAAAAUUUCAAUUUUAUUUUCUCACUGUUUAGUUUCAGGUUUUAUUUAUUUGCUUUGGAGGCGAACCUUCAGUUCAAAUUCAAUAUCGAAGUAUAUGUCGAUACAUGGUUAUUUUUUGUUUUCUUGAGCUUUUAGGAAAUGUCCCUUCCAUUUUUUAUUUUCAGUUUUUUUUAGUUCUUUCUGUUCUAGGAUUGACCCUUUUCAUAAUUCUUUGCUAGAUUAGUUAAUGGACCCUCAGUCCAUUAAAUACUCAGAAUUAGUACUUUCUCUUAAUUACAAUUCCCUUUCUUCUAAUAUAAUGUUAGUUUCAUUGAAUUGUUAAAUAUUUUGUUGGGUGUUGCCACACUGUUUGCAUUUUUUCAGGUGGAAAUUGUCUUCAUCUUCUUUCUCCUGUAUUUUUCUUUCUUGUGUUGUUGUUGCAUCUUUCAAAAUAUUGUUAGCUAACUUCUAAAAACUGCCAUAUCUUCUGUAUAUUUUUGUAGAGUGUAUUUUCAAUUGUAAAAUGUGCAUGUAAUAAUCCUCCUUCCUUUACCUCAUAUUCAUUUUCUGCUUUGCCUUUCCCUCAUCCUCUCCAGUGUAAAUACCUUACCUACUUAGUUCUUCUGACUCCAACUCUCAUGUAGUAUUUCACCUCAACUCAUCCUUCCUCCACUACACUCACUCACCACUUCCUCUAAAUACAAAUCUACUUUCACUCCUUCUCAUUCCUUAAUUUUUUUCUAACUGGCAUUCUCGUUCCAUUGCAUUCUUACUUCCUUUUCCUUACUCCCACGAUCAUUCCCAUUUCUGCAUCCUUAUCCUGAUAUUUUUCAUCUUCUUCCACAAUCCUCCGCUAUCAUUCCUUACUUUGUAUCCUUAUCAUGGUAUUUUUUGUCUCCUUCCACAAUUCACUACUAUCAUUCCUACCCCUCCCUUCAUCCAUAUCCUGGUAUUUUUUGUCUCCUUCCACAAUUCCUUGCUAUCAUUCCUACCCCUCCCUUAAUCCAUAUCCUGGUAUUCCUUCCACAAUUCCUUGCUAUCAUUCCUAUUCCUGUAUCCCUGGUAAUUUUUGUCUCUAUCCACAAUUCACUACUAUCAUUCCUAACCCACAAUUCACUACUAUCAUUCCUAACCCACAAUCCAUAUCCUGGUAUUUUUUGUGUCUCCAUCCACAAUAACCAGUCUGCUAUUCCCCAACUAUAUCCUAUUACUUCAGCUUGCUCAUCCUCCACUAUCAUGAUAGCUCAUCUUAUUGUCACCCACCCCCCACAACGUUUCAUACUGCAAUAUCUUCCAAUCCUCUUUAGCUAUCAUCACUUUAGCAAUCCCUUUCUAUUCACAAUUGCCAUCACUACAAUCUAUUCCAUGCACAACCCCUCCACCCACCCAUCAUUCAUUUGACUGAUGUCUUACUUUAGUAAUCACUCCUCUCCUUAUCUUGAUAUUAAUUUUGUCCUUCAGUCCCCUAUUUUCUUCUUUGCACUUUUUUUGGCAAUAAUUAAGUGUAGGUAAUUAAUAUCAAUGAUAAUUAGUAUUCAAUAUUCUGACAGAUGCAACAACAAUUAAGUGUGGCAACACUCUUUUAGUGUAGACUGCUUGUGUGUCCCCCCCCCUCAUGAUGGUCUAGACAUGCACUUACCUCUUUCAUCAAUCUUCUCACUCCUUUUGGAGGGGCCACCCCCUCUUCGGUAGAAGUGGGAGUUACCCCUUCAGAAGGGGAACCACUCUUUUUUCCCCCCUUUGGGGAACUUUCCCUUCCCCUUCCGGGGGAGGAAAAGCCCCCAUUGGGGGAUUUGACCCUCUCCCUUCUGGGGAGGGAAAACUGUCACCUGGCUCUUUGUGGUCCAGUCAGGCUCAAUGCGCCCUUUGGCGUGGGUGGGACCACUCACUACAUAGGGGGGGGCCAGGAACACAUGGAGCCAGGUGCCAGUACUUGGACGGAAAGAUUAGUGCCCGUUUUUUUCUUGGGGACUUUUCGACAGUGAACGUUUCACUGUAAACCUGAAUCUAAAUGAAGAGGAGGAAAUAAAAAAAAAAAAAAAAAAAAAAAAAAAAAAAAAAAAAA